GACGAACGCUGGCGGCGCGCCUAACACAUGCAAGUCGAACGAGCGAGAGAGAGUUUACUUUUUCGAGCGAGUGGCGAACGGGUGAGUAACGCGUGAGGAACCUGCCUCAAAGAGGGGGACAACAGUUGGAAACGACUGCUAAUACCGCAUAAGCCCACGGCUCGGCAUCGAGCAGAGGGAAAAGGAGCAAUCCGCUUUGAGAUGGCCUCGCGUCCGAUUAGCUAGUUGGUGAGGUAAUGGCCCACCAAGGCGACGAUCGGUAGCCGGACUGAGAGGUUGAACGGCCACAUUGGGACUGAGACACGGCCCAGACUCCUACGGGAGGCAGCAGUGGGGAAUAUUGCACAAUGGGGGAAACCCUGAUGCAGCGACGCCGCGUGGAGGAAGAAGGUCUUCGGAUUGUAAACUCCUGUUGUUGAGGAAGAUAAUGACGGUACUCAACAAGGAAGUGACGGCUAACUACGUG
RNAcentral lists this ribosomal RNA (466 nucleotides) under uncultured bacterium. RNAcentral's name for it is "bacterial SSU rRNA". It matches the Rfam family "Bacterial small subunit ribosomal RNA", at positions 28 to 507 of the family's 1533-position model. The record is from RNAcentral.